Spodoptera frugiperda (fall armyworm) is the source of this 3296-nucleotide long non-coding RNA. RefSeq lists it as uncharacterized. The transcript has 2 exons. The record is from RefSeq and is a predicted model, not a curated record. Lineage: Eukaryota; Metazoa; Arthropoda; Insecta; Lepidoptera; Noctuidae.
GUAAAACUGCCACCAAUGACCAGCCAUCUGAAUGCUUGUUCAGCAGCAAACUCCAAUUUUUAGUGCCUUAACUGUAAACCUCAAGUGGUUGCUAGGCUUAGGGGCCCUCCAACCUCAACUAAAAGAGUAGCAUUUAUGCAUUAUAUACCAGGUCGACGGUGAGGUGCGGUAGUUAAUUAGUUAAACUCUCCUGCUUAAUUUAGAUAAAGAAUAUUUUUUCAAUAAUAGACGUGUCGAGUCAGAUAAUAGACCAGGGGCCUAAAUCAAUGAUACACAAUUUUGCAACUAUGCUAAUAACAGGCCCCGGGAAGAACAUUUGUAAUACAUAUCUACGUAUAUGGUCAAAAAUGAUGACUCGCCCAUUUACUCACCUUUAGUUUUCACUUUCAGCAAUUAUUUGUUUAGGUACUUGUGGAAUUCAAUAAUAUUAAAUAGCAAACAUGUACUUAAAACAGGUAGACAUUAACCGCAGUAGGUACUCGCCGCAGCUAUUCAGCGCCUAAGUAAUGAAUUUCAAAUCAAUCUUUUAUUGAAACGUGUUGUGUGUAACGGUUACAAGGUCUCUCAUGAAACGUGUAUUCAAAGGAAGGUCCGGUCCAGGCGACCACCUCGUGCAGUUUAUAUUAGGCACAUUUCAAUAAGAGGCCAUAAACAAAGCAAUUUGUUGGCGGUGACAGAAGCGGCGCGGGCGCACGCCUGACGUCCACGCCCGCUAUGGUGACCACGAAGCAGUCUGCAAACUAGCCGUGACUCGGCAAAACUAGACAAAAAGCGUUUUAUUUUAACACUUACCGACACAAUAAAAAUAAGAAACAGUUUCAAUGCUAAAAUAAUAAAAACGUUGUCUUACUUCAAUAUUAACGAGUGUUUAGUAAGUUACUAAGCAGACACCGUCAAUUUAACUUAGUAGUAAAGACAUCGUGAGCGAUAUUACAUAAGUAGGAGCAGGUACAUGUAUAAUAAGCUACCCACACUGAUUACAUUGUAAUGUUUUUAAGAAAAAAAUCUAUUCAAUGUCAGCAAAAAACAAAGAAGUACUAAAAAAGGCAGUCUUUUAAAUCAAUUCACAGUUUCAUAAUAUGAAUACAUAUAUUGAAUUCUUGUGAAGUACACGCGUAGCAAAUUGUUACAAAAAACAAAUAUAGCAAGAUUAAGCAAUGUCUAUGUAUAAGAAAUGUUCACAACAUCACACGUACCUAGUGAAUGGGUCGUACAGAAAUGUCACCCUAUGCGUAGACCGUAACCGUUGCUUCCUGCGGUCAAACUCAAUUAAAACUCAUUGCAGGGGCGUGCGAACCAAGCGCGUCCGCCGCGAGCCGAGCGUGCGCCCGCGCAGCCGCGCUCGAGGUCCCCGCGCAUGGCGCCCGCACUCUUAACCCCACAGGAAACACUCCUUGCCUAACUCCUAAUCUUAGGUCAAUAAACCUAGGGCUCGCAUCGUCUCCGUAUGAUGAACACAGAUGAUACACAACUGAUAACGAUCACCGUGAUAUUACAAUCAGUCCCGGUAAUAUAGGAAGUCUUAUCAGUUCCAACGGAGGUUUGCUCGAUAUGGUACACGCGUAUGGGUUACACGAGAUUUAUAUCAUCGGUUAUUGAUUCGUCGGCUAUAGACUGUGAAGCAUUAAAAUUAUAGUUAUCAACUUUUUAAUUAAAUGUUCGUCAUUAUGCCGCACGCCUUAAGCAUAAAGAUUGACGGACAGAUGAUCGGCAUUAUUGAUCGAUUGCACCUACGAGCCAUAUUUUAAUUAAACUUCUUUAUACCCAUUUAAGUUCACAAUGUCCCGUUUAUCUAGGAGUACGUGAGCACGACGGUCGUGCGCCAGUAACGUGUGAACUUUAAUACCGAUAUCACACUAGUUGGCACUAGCAUGAUGCCAUGACGGCACGUCAAGUAUUGCUACGGUAUUUUCUCCUGCAAUGUUGCCUUGAAGAAAUACGCCGACGACCAAAUCAAUAUCAUAAAUCGAAGUGCACCACGGUGCGGAGACAUUCUCAGACAUUCUGCUACGUCUCGUAGUCCAGUUUGCUGUAUGUUUAAGGAGAAUCAACAAUUAAUCGCUCUUAAUUAAUUACCUCGCACGAAUUAUCUUAUAGAGACUUAAUUUUUUGCGAGAUUCGCAGCAACAGACAGAUGAAAACGCACCCAAAUACAGUAACAUUUACAUUCCACUGCAAAUAGCUAGCGAUAUUUAAUGUAAUUUAGCACACUUCGUAUGAAAAUGCCACGGUGAACAGCAUUGGUCAGUUUCCCAAGUUAAACAUCACUUUUGUUUUUAUCGAUGACAUUGUGAACUCGCUCUGUUUCUUAGUAAUUCUUUGUCACAUUUGUCUAUCGUUAUAUUAAAAAGUUUAUUGAAACGAAACAAUAAUAUCUUUACUAUGUUUUUGUGUGCGUCUUCUGGGAAGGGUAAAACGAAAGAGCCUGAUUUAAAACAUUAGGGUGGAUGGUUUAUGUUAAGUGAACCCCCUGAGCGAACCGAACCGUAGGUACCCAUCGUUUUAUCUUAUGUUAUGUCAUAGUUUACAAAAGAGUUUCAUAUUGUCACAACACUGGGACCUUCACAAAACUUAGCUUCAUGCAGGGUGUGCCCAUCAAUAAAAACUUUAAAUAACAAAUGAUGCAAACAGAUGACUUCAAGCCCAAAAAUAUUAUUUUCUUAUAUCUAUGACUUCAACAAAUCUGUGUACACUAGUAAUUAUAAUUGUAUGGACCGGAUUUCGUAAGGCUACGCGAUUCACAUGGUUAUAACGAAGUCGUUGACUAGAGGCGAGUGUGUGGCUGUGUGAUGCGAGUACAGACUCGGGGCGAGAACGUGGGGCCCGCCGGUUGUCUGCCAAGCAACGCCUCAAGGCCCGCGAGUCAUUGCCACGUUGCGAAUUCGCAAAUACUUCACCAUCUCCGUCCGCCUAGCCACCAGCCUGAACAACAUGCUAUGCCAGUAUAUCACUAUACUCUAUAGGACUCAAACAUAACAUGAUACUGCCGUGCCCGCUCUAGCACAUUUAAAUACUUAUUCAUACUUUAUUCUGAAUCGAAAUCGACGAAUAACUCAGACUAUAAAUAACCAUACAAAACAAUCAUUUAGAAGUAAGCUAAACUUUUUGUGAUAGCACUGUGCGCGUAGAGCAUGAACCUUCCAAUAAAAACUUCAAAUCCACUUCCAUGAAUGCUAAAAUCUCUAUUUUUGUAACAGCGAACGUGCAGACCCACUUAGCGGUAAGAACUAUGCAGGCACUACUUGCCUAGGCUGAAUGUAAUCUAACUUUCAAAAUAAAGUGUUAAUGUUAACAAA